This is a long non-coding RNA of Paramormyrops kingsleyae, 1524 nucleotides long. RefSeq lists it as uncharacterized. Lineage: Eukaryota; Metazoa; Chordata; Actinopteri; Osteoglossiformes; Mormyridae. The record is from RefSeq and is a predicted model, not a curated record.
UUGCCUUCCGUCGGACGUUACGCAAAAAAAUCCCGGUCGGCGUUUGAUGUCGGUUUCUGUGUUUCGCAAACGUGCUACUGACUUUCAGUGGCGCUGAUUAAACAGGACGCGAGAUGCUGGAAAGCUGACAGCCAGCUCAAAGGAUUCACUCGCUCAUUUUAUGGCUUCGCUUCUGCAAAUAACCCAGCGACCUCAAAGACCCAACCUUGGGACUGACUUCCGCCUGGUGAAUACAAAAAUGGACCAGAGGAGAAAAAAAUCUUCUAAGACCAACAUGGGGCAUCACCCACACAGGCUACGGGAAGCACAGACUGGCUCUGCGGAAGCUGAGGUCGGAAGAUCUACUGUCCAGGGCGACCCACACCGCUCCAGAUGUCUCCGAGGGAUUGCAUCCAGGCAAAAAGGAAUACACAAGCUACAAAGUUGCUGGUUUUAAAUUCAGCUCACAUCAGAUUUCCAGCCAGUUUAAUUGCUUACAUACAGUUUAUAUCUGCAAUGCACGCUAGACCUCAGAAGUUAGAACACACUCCGGCUACACAGGACCUCCUGUCCUGUAACGGUCCCCGAUGAAGAAGACCACAUACUGUAGAUAAGGUUAGUCCAAGUCUUCCUCUCCUUUUCCAUUCCCACAGCCCACGUCGAAAACCAAAGCCCGUCCACCCAACAUGGCCCAGAUGUGCGUUCCAGUAACGCAGAAGGGUCCAUAGACACACCUAGAUGAAUCUUAAACACAGCUAGUUCCACUCUGCAGACCCAGCACGGGGUGUAUUUGACGUAGGCAACAAAAGCGCAGAAGACGGAUACUGUGAGAACACUGCGGCGACCCAGCAAGACCACUGACACCAGCACCAGAUGUUUCAUCUCACCGCUGAGAGGCAACUUAACUUAAUGAUGCACAUUCUGAAUGGCUCCUGAGAAACACCGACCAAAAUGAAAAGACAUGGAGGAGAGACCCAAGUCUGCCAGCUUAACCAUCUUGCUAAAGAUACAAUCACAUAGGGAUGGGCACAGGGGGUGGCACACAGCUCAGUUUACACACGCAGUCACCAUGCCAUUGAUCUCCUUUUUGUGAACUACAGGUUGUUAGUGAAAACCAAAGGAAAGACAUAAUUCUCAAGCAGCUUGUUUUUUUCCUCGUCCAUCCAGCUGCAAACCCCCAAUCCUGGACAAGGGUUUGGGGGGAGGGGCUUAGAGAAGCAUUCCCCAAUUACAGUCCUGGGGGGCCAGUCUGCAAUGCAGUUUGCAGAUUUCCCUACUCAAAUGCACUUACUAAACCUGGGAAUUGGCUAGUGAGCUGAAUAAUAUAUGUGUGUGUGUGUGUGCGUGUGUAAAUUCAUUAAUUUUUUUUUCUCCAUGGCCUAACAUCAAGACAUAUUUCCCUGUGCAGAUCCUAUACCAGUAGAUCCUACAUCAUCUUGGCCGGUCACUGGCUGUUCAUGAACAUCACUGUACCAGUGUCGGUCGAAGCCGCGGGGAAGCACCCCUGUCAAACUUCACUGCACGAUUUCACUCUGUCUAGGUGGU